This 73-nucleotide transfer RNA is filed under the name Nitrospinota bacterium. RNAcentral describes it as "tRNA-Lys". It matches the Rfam family "tRNA". From Rfam's summary of the family: Transfer RNA (tRNA) molecules are approximately 80 nucleotides in length. Their secondary structure includes four short double-helical elements and three loops (D, anti-codon, and T loops). Further hydrogen bonds mediate the characteristic L-shaped molecular structure. tRNAs have two regions of fundamental functional importance: the anti-codon, which is responsible for specific mRNA codon recognition, and the 3' end, to which the tRNAs corresponding amino acid is attached (by aminoacyl-tRNA synthetases). tRNAs cope with the degeneracy of the genetic code in two manners: having more than one tRNA (with a specific anti-codon) for a particular amino acid; and 'wobble' base-pairing, i.e. permitting non-standard base-pairing at the 3rd anti-codon position. The record is from RNAcentral. Lineage: Bacteria; Pseudomonadati; Nitrospinota.
GUGCCGCUAGCUCAGCUGGUAGAGCAACGGACUUUUAAUCCGUAGGUCCAGGGUUCGAGUCCCUGGCGGCACA